Oxyura jamaicensis (ruddy duck) is the source of this 152-nucleotide long non-coding RNA. RefSeq lists it as uncharacterized. The transcript is spliced from 3 exons. Lineage: Eukaryota; Metazoa; Chordata; Aves; Anseriformes; Anatidae. The record is from RefSeq and is a predicted model, not a curated record.
AAAACUAAGAACGUUCCAGUCAUGCGAGCUGUCCCACCACGUCUCUGUGAUCGCAACGAGAUCAUGGCCCCACGACCGAACACAGAUCUUGAGCUCAUCCUGUUUAUUUCCCAUGCUCCGCGCAUUGGCACUUUAGGGAAGCAGCAGGUGCA